Molecule: long non-coding RNA, 111 nt
Organism: Aquila chrysaetos chrysaetos
Lineage: Eukaryota; Metazoa; Chordata; Aves; Accipitriformes; Accipitridae
Exons: 3
Source: RefSeq, a predicted model, not a curated record
CGGGGUCACAAUUUGCAGGAGGUAGAAAUAAACGAACGCCUGUAAAGUUGAAAGCAGACGACCCUUUAUUGCUAAAACACACACAUAUUUAUAAUCAUAUAUUCUGCAAAG